UUUUAAUUUCCAAGCAUAACAAAUUAAUCUUUUAGAAGUUACAUGAGUUUUCCAUCUCCCUGGAAUUUUCUUUUUCUCUUACCCGGUGAAUUUCUACUCAUUUGCCAAGACCCAGAUUUCAUCUCUUAUAACUUAGUUCUGUCAUAAUGUGAAGUGACCAGAACUUUCUUGGUAGGCAAAGGGAUGCCAGAAGUCCAGCAAACUAGGGAAAGAUAAUUAUGUAAUUGGAGUUCAUUUUAAUUAUUAAAUGGCUAUCUCAGCACUUUAUUGUAAAAGACCAUUUCACUGUUCAUCUCUCCUCAUUAAGUCCUAUGAAAAACAUCAGAUCCAGGCUGUCAGCGAGGAGGUGACUUCCUUGAGGUUAGCUGGACUUGGCUAUAGACACCAGGUUGGCACCCAGAAUUUUGAUAUUGGGAUGUCCCUUCCUAUUCCUGGUCCCUCAUAAAUGGAGACUCCACAGUGUGGCCCCAU
This 471-nucleotide long non-coding RNA is filed under the name Marmota monax (woodchuck). The record is from RNAcentral. Lineage: Eukaryota; Metazoa; Chordata; Mammalia; Rodentia; Sciuridae.